GCGAUGUUGGUGGAUCCUACAGGUUCUAUUAAAUGUGUCUUUUUUGGAGAAUGGGUCAAGUGUAUUGAGGAAGGGGAAACAUAUACUUUUACCAACUUAAGAGUACGCACAGACUAUUUGAGUCAGGAGAAGUUUGUGAAUACUGCCAAAACUGGUUGUAAAAUAGAAACAAGAAAAGCAUUCGAUGAGCCAUUAGCACCUGCUGCUCCAUUGGUUGCUGACAUUGCAACAAAAGAAGCAAUUUUUUCUGUGGUGGGCAUAAAAGGAAUCAGCAAAUACUAUUCAUGCAGUAGCUGUUCGAAGAAGCUGGAAGAGCAGGGUACAAAGUUGUAUUGUCGAUCCUGUAACAUGAAGCAAAAACCAACAAAUGUUCAGUGGGUUUCGAGACUGCGGGUACAAGAUUCAACUUCCGAGCAAUUGAACAUCACAGUGUUUCACCCACAGAUGGUAAAGUUAUUUGAAAGUCAAGGAAAAUCUCUGCUGCCUUCACUAACGGAGAGUGAAAUAGAAGAUAUACUUCUUGAUGUUGAAAACAUUCAUGCAAGCAUGAAGCAUCAACAUCCAGCAAGGAAAACUUUUAGAUAUUCUGGAAUGACUUUGAUCUUGUGAACAUAUACUGUAAAACAGUUACAUUAUUUUUAAAGUGGAUAUUCUAUUUUGGGAUUUGUUAUGGUUACUUGGUUUGUUUAGAAGAGGAAAACAUAAAACUUUGAUGUUAUAAACUCUUACAUUUUUAUAUUUUGAUACUUGCUAUGGAC
Non-coding RNA from Paramuricea clavata, 758 nucleotides. Lineage: Eukaryota; Metazoa; Cnidaria; Anthozoa; Malacalcyonacea; Plexauridae. The record is from the annotation of a GenBank genome assembly.